Molecule: ribosomal RNA, 253 nt
Filed under: uncultured bacterium
Lineage: Bacteria
Description: partial 16S ribosomal RNA
Rfam family: Bacterial small subunit ribosomal RNA
Source: RNAcentral
UACGUAGGGUGCGAGCGUUAAUCGGAAUUACUGGGCGUAAAGCGUGCGCAGGCGGUUUUGUAAGCCAGAUGUGAAAUCCCCGGGCUUAACCUGGGAAUGGCAUUUGGGACUGCAAGGCUCGAGUGCGGCAGAGGGGGGUGGAAUUCCGCGUGUAGCAGUGAAAUGCGUAGAGAUGCGGAGGAACACCGAUGGCGAAGGCAGCCCCCUGGGUCGACACUGACGCUCAGGCACGAAAGCGUGGGGAGCAAACAGG